Molecule: ribosomal RNA, 465 nt
Filed under: Vreelandella stevensii
Lineage: Bacteria; Pseudomonadati; Pseudomonadota; Gammaproteobacteria; Oceanospirillales; Halomonadaceae
Description: partial 16S ribosomal RNA
Rfam family: Bacterial small subunit ribosomal RNA
Source: RNAcentral
CCUACGGGCGGCAGCAGUGGGGAAUAUUGGACAAUGGGGGGAACCCUGAUCCAGCCAUGCCGCGUGUGUGAAGAAGGCCCUCGGGUUGUAAAGCACUUUCAGUGAGGAAGAACGCCUGGUGGUUAAUACCCAUCAGGAAAGACAUCACUCACAGAAGAAGCACCGGCUAACUCCGUGCCAGCAGCCGCGGUAAUACGGAGGGUGCGAGCGUUAAUCGGAAUUACUGGGCGUAAAGCGCGCGUAGGUGGCUUGAUAAGCCGGUUGUGAAAGCCCCGGGCUCAACCUGGGAACGGCAUCCGGAACUGUCAAGCUAGAGUGCAGGAGAGGAAGGUAGAAUUCCCGGUGUAGCGGUGAAAUGCGUAGAGAUCGGGAGGAAUACCAGUGGCGAAGGCGGCCUUCUGGACUGAAACUGACACUGAGGUGCGAAAGCGUGGGUAGCAAACAGGAUUAGAUACCCUGGUAGUC